AUUGAUCUCAAUAAAGAGAACCAGUUGAAAAUAGACAUUAUAUUUCAGACCACACUUUAUGUUAUUUCCAUGCUACACACCUAUACUUGAUCCAUGUCGUUGGUUAUAUUGAUUUAUGUGAUCUAUGUUGGUUCUAGUUACGCAAGAGUAACUAAGAGCUCUUAGAUCCUAUGUUGGUAUGAUUGAUGGACCGGAUUGUUCAUGACAAUUUUAUU
This 215-nucleotide long non-coding RNA is filed under the name Nicotiana benthamiana. Its description in RNAcentral is "long non-coding RNA (NBEN_LNC039972)". Lineage: Eukaryota; Viridiplantae; Streptophyta; Magnoliopsida; Solanales; Solanaceae. The record is from RNAcentral.